CCGCCUGGGGAGUACGGCCGCAAGGUUAAAACUCAAAUGAAUUGACGGGGGCCCGCACAAGCGGUGGAGCAUGUGGUUUAAUUCGAUGCAACGCGAAGAACCUUACCUGGUCUUGACAUCCACAGAAGAAUCCAGAGAUGGAUUUGUGCCUUCGGGAACUGUGAGACAGGUGCUGCAUGGCUGUCGUCAGCUCGUGUUGUGAAAUGUUGGGUUAAGUCCCGCAACGAGCGCAACCCUUAUCCUUUGUUGCCAGCGAUUAGGUCGGGAACUCAAAGGAGACUGCCAGU
RNAcentral lists this ribosomal RNA (287 nucleotides) under Salmonella enterica. RNAcentral describes it as "partial 16S ribosomal RNA". It matches the Rfam family "Bacterial small subunit ribosomal RNA", at positions 869 to 1156 of the family's 1533-position model. Lineage: Bacteria; Pseudomonadati; Pseudomonadota; Gammaproteobacteria; Enterobacterales; Enterobacteriaceae. The record is from RNAcentral. RNAcentral also lists the same sequence under 1 other name.